UUCCCAGGGCAUUUCGGGUUGAACCGAAGACGAAGUAAAGGCCUGAUAGUGAUUAUGCAGCUUUAUACUGGGAAGCAUAUUGUAUCCUGAUAUGGGGGAUUACUGCAGGCUCUUUGAUAUCCAUGGACCCUCUAGGGGCUGAAGCCUAGUCCCUCCCCAGCUGAGGAAUGUCAACUCCAUCGCUGAGCCCUCCUCCAGACCUCCCUUUUGCUGCCACCUUGUUCCUGCCCCUCCCUGCCAUCGUUUUCUUGGUUGUCGGUUCCUACCUGCUGCUCCUCGUCCUGGUCCUGGUCCUCCGACAGUGCCUGCUGGUAACUGGAAGAUGGGAUGGAGACAGCAAA
Molecule: long non-coding RNA, 341 nt
Filed under: Varanus komodoensis (Komodo dragon)
Lineage: Eukaryota; Metazoa; Chordata; Lepidosauria; Squamata; Varanidae
Description: lncRNA (ENSVKKG00000005696.1)
Source: RNAcentral